UAAUACGUAGGUGGCAAGCGUUGUCCGGAAUUAUUGGGCGUAAAGCGCGCGCAGGCGGUCUUUUAAGUCUGAUGUGAAAGCCCACGGCUCAACCGUGGAGGGUCAUUGGAAACUGGAAGACUUGAGUGCAGAAGAGGAGAGUGGAAUUCCACGUGUAGCGGUGAAAUGCGUAGAGAUGUGGAGGAACACCAGUGGCGAAGGCGACUCUCUGGUCUGUAACUGACGCUGAGGCGCGAAAGCGUGGGGAGCAAACAGGAUUAGAUACCCUGGUAGUCCACGCCGUAAACGAUGAGUGCUAAGUGUUGGAGGGUUUCCGCCCUUCAGUGCUGCAGCAAACGCAUUAAGCACUCCGCCUGGGGAGUACGACCGCAAGGUUGAA
This 379-nucleotide ribosomal RNA is filed under the name uncultured bacterium. RNAcentral's name for it is "bacterial SSU rRNA". It matches the Rfam family "Bacterial small subunit ribosomal RNA", at positions 521 to 898 of the family's 1533-position model. The record is from RNAcentral.